GACUGGGGAGAGGGAGCAGGGGGAGGAAAGGCAACCAACCAAGAACAAAGACUAUCUAAAUCAGAAUAAGCUGACAACAUAUCAGACAUCCAGAAUCCUUUUAGGAGAGACACUUACAAAGUGUCUGUUUUGCAGGGCAGGUUUCACUUGAAGAGCUUGACUAGCCUAGAGCACAUAUUGGGCUUCCUGGUUCCAGAAUUCCUGGAUCCAUUUGCACUAACCUGGAAAAUAAGUUUGCCAUGGUAUGAAAUUCUCAGUGAAUAGGGUUAUUAUUUGUUUGUGUGAGGCACCAUUCAUCAGAAGAUCUGAAAGCAUGCGACAAAGGAGGCCUUGAGCAUUAUCUCUGUUUUAUGAAUUGAAGAACAGAGAGAGGAUGCACCUUGCCUGAGGUCAACAGAUCAAUGGUGAAUCCAGGUGUCCCUCAAGCAGUUGUCAAUGUUGCUUCAGGUGCACCUCAAAUAGAAUUAGACAUGAACCAACAGAAAAUAGCCUGUUCUUGGAGAAAAUGGCACAUCCUCAGAUUUUUAAAGGUGUUUAAAGGGAGUUGCAGAGACACCUCCAACCACAGCAGUCUUGUGCAGUUUGAAGGCAGAAACUGUUGCUGAAAUCUGGGUUGCGUUUACUACAACUGUCCAGAGAAGUAUCAUUUGCUCCCACUUCAAAAUCAGGUACCAAAUGAGAGAAGGUUUGAGAGGGAAACAGUCCAGCUGUUAUGAAUAGUUAUGGAAUAAUUCACUCCCAAAGUUCAAAAGCCUUGGAUUAAAUUUCAAAGGUCCUGCCUCACAGGAGGUGCGGGCUUGUACCCUUGUCUGGCAUUUCACAUCUACUGGGCUUCCUCGGCGUAGAUAGCAGAGUGCACUAUGCGAGAUGUGGGCUUCUCCCUCUGCGGUCUCCUUACUCUGGAAGCUGUGGAUAACAGCAAGCUCAGUGCAUGCCACUCCUGCCAAAAAGCAAGCAGUGAGCGAGGAGACAAACCAACCCUUCAAAGAGAGCCAAAGUCUUCCAGCGCAGCUCAGUGCAAAGGGAAGGCAGAGAUUUGUGGCUGUUCUGUUUUGUUUUAAACUAAACUGUUUAGGCCAUCCAUACCCCUUCCAAUUUUUUGGUCUCAUCUGAUGAAAACAGAGGAAAUUAAACUAUAUGAGUAGAAGGUGGUUUUUAAUCACAACCACUUUUUCCCCUAGAGACCAAAAGCAUAUGCUUGAAUUAAUGGACCCUUUCCAUUAAUCAAAGGGCCCAGGAUAGAUGCAAGAGAAGUUAGGUUUUCUUCAUCAUGCAAAAACUUCCUCCAGCUCUCUUCAGCAGUUUCACAUGGGGAUGAUGAAGCCAUUUAGCCUAACAAAAGACCUGGCUUGAAUCCUGGAUCAGAAUUCACAUACACAUUAAUUCCUGGUUUUGGCAUUCAGAUAUGAUUAACUCUUCUGUCCCUUUUUACAUGCCUCUCCUUUAAGAUGGCUGAAAAAAACACUUUAAUGCUCAGUUUUAAGUACAGAAAAAAGGCUAAAUUUGAAACACAUGCCUCUCUUCAGCAUGCUGGGAGCUGUAGAUGACACUUUCUCUGUUCCUCAAUAUUGUCAGAUCCCAUUUUGACAUGUAUAAUUCUGUCUGCACUAAAAGCACCAAAUUUUAUGCUAUGAUUCUACUAUGUAGGAAAGACCUAGACACAAUGUGACAGGAUGCUUAGCCCUUUCUACAGCUCUAGUCUUUACCAUGGAAGUCUGUGGCAAAUCAGACAUUUAAACUUUUUUUCUGCUAUGUCAAAGUAAAGCCUUCACAGCCCUGCACAGCUGGAGAAGAGAUGACCACAUGCUAUUCCUCAUGGGUCUAAGGAUAAUCAAGACUGAACUUGAAGGAAACCAACACAAUUUCCAUGACAAAGGAGGAUUCUGCUGUUAUACUCUCAUUUAUGUGUCAUGUGUACAUUUGGCAGCAUUUGAUCUUUAUUCUCUAGACACUUAAGAAAUAAUCUAGGAAUUAUUGCUCCUUGACAAUACAAACAAAUAAGGCUAUCUAUAAAUAAACCUCAGCAAGGACGGGGGGAGGGUCGCUUCAUACCCGCAGAGGGACUGCUUCAGGGCUAGUUCUCAUUUAUUUUUUGGCCAUCACUGGGGAUCAGGAGGUCACCCUCCUUUCUGAGCCCUUUUGUACGAGGCCAUGCCCAGGGAAGACAGGCCCUCACAUAAAACACCUCUGAAGAAAUUGGCUGACUUUUUUCCCCUGUUGUUGCCAGUUUCCCUGACAGGGAGCUGGGUUUUAGCAGGCCUGGGGAAGGCAGGAGGUGACAUCCCAACGGGCAGCAUGGCCUCCAUGGCCCCCUCCUCAGUACCUGUGGCACUGGAAGCCAGGCUUUGCUUGCAAACCAGAGGGAAGAAAAGGUUUUGCAUCAGCUAUUUAACCUCAUCUCCACUCUAUUAAUUUCAGUUUGAAAACCCAGGAAGUGUAAUAGUCUUUAAAUAAAUUGCAAGCACAAAAACAUUGUUCAGUCUAUGCCAUACUUACGUAGGGCAUUCUUGGUACAUUCUUGCUAGUGCCCACCAGAUGCUGCUCAACUUUUUUUUUUUUUUUUCUUUUAAACUUUACUGUUUGUAGCAUCUCCCCAUGGCUAUUCUUGUUUGCCUUGGGCCUGAUCCAAACAGCUAUGGGAGGAAACAGGCAG
Molecule: non-coding RNA, 2653 nt
Organism: Phalacrocorax carbo (great cormorant)
Lineage: Eukaryota; Metazoa; Chordata; Aves; Suliformes; Phalacrocoracidae
Source: RefSeq, a predicted model, not a curated record